Long non-coding RNA from Camelina sativa (false flax), 276 nucleotides. RefSeq lists it as uncharacterized. Lineage: Eukaryota; Viridiplantae; Streptophyta; Magnoliopsida; Brassicales; Brassicaceae. The record is from RefSeq and is a predicted model, not a curated record.
GUUUAUCUUGAACUUGAAGGAUGCCUUUGAUCUGUCGUCGUCGUCGGAUCCUGUUACCUCUUUGACGAUCACGAGGAACCAUGAUUCCUAACCCGAGAACCAACAUUCAGAUAAGAGAUCGAUGAUCCACAGAUUCUUUCCUACACGAUCGUGAAGGCACUGGGAGGACUGAUAUGAUCGCGGAAGUUAAGGACCAUUUUGGAGGGAAGGAUGGUUUGAGAGUAUAUAACUUCGAGUUUCUGGUUACUUCACAUCUAUACUAAUGGCUAUCGUUGG